This 500-nucleotide ribosomal RNA is filed under the name uncultured Glomeromycotina. RNAcentral's name for it is "partial small subunit ribosomal RNA". It matches the Rfam family "Eukaryotic small subunit ribosomal RNA", at positions 591 to 1092 of the family's 1831-position model. The record is from RNAcentral. Lineage: Eukaryota; Fungi; Glomeromycota.
CCAAUAGCGUAUAUUAAAGUUGUUGCAGUUAAAAAGCUCGUAGUUGAAUUUCGGGGUUAGUAGAUUGGUCGUGCCACUGGUAUGCACUGGUCUUACUGAUUCCUCCUUCCUGAUGAACCGUAAUGCCAUUAAUUUGGUGUUGCGGGGAGACUGGACUGUUACUUUGAAAAAAUUAGAGUGUUUAAAGCAAGCUAACGCUUGAAUACAUUAGCAUGGAAUAAUGAAAUAGGACGAUCGAUCCUAUUUUGUUGGUUUCUAGGAUUGACGUAAUGAUUAAUAGGGAUAGUUGGGGGCAUUAGUAUUCAAUUGUCAGAGGUGAAAUUCUUGGAUUUAUUGAAGACUAACUACUGCGAAAGCAUUUGCCAAGGAUGUUUUCAUUAAUCAAGAACGAAAGUUAGGGGAUCGAAGACGAUCAGAUACCGUCGUAGUCUUAACCAUAAACUAUGCCGACUAGGGAUCGGAUGAUGUUAAUUUUAUAAUGACUCAUUCGGCGCCUUACG